Molecule: unclassified non-coding RNA, 624 nt
Filed under: uncultured eukaryote
Lineage: Eukaryota
Description: sequence contains ITS1, 5.8S rRNA gene and ITS2
Rfam family: 5.8S ribosomal RNA (bases 227-380)
Source: RNAcentral
GAAGCUCAUAGCGAUGUGAAUCUUAUCUCAGUCUGCUAAGGUGCCCAAUGAAUUUACAAGUGGCUGUUGGGGGUGGAAAACAUAGCACACAAGUCCAUAUGUUGUAACCUUACGUGGUGUACGCUAAGUGUCACCAGGCGUUUUCAAACGUUUCUCAUGCCAUAAAAAAGGUGUGCGAGCUGAAAGAGCGAGCGUGCACUAUAAAUAAACUUAAACUUUUAAGCACGACUGCAAACGGUGGAUCACUCGGUUCGCAGGUCGAUGAAGAACGCAGCAAACUGCGUUAAGCGGUGUGAAUUGCAGGACACGCCGAGCACUUGAUUUUCGAACGCAUAUUGCGGCCUCGAGUCUUUCUCGGGGCUUCGUCUGUCUGAGGGUCGGUAAAAGAAACUUAUGCUAAGAGCUGACACUCGAGGAGAGCCUUUACUUGCGCGCACUCUUCGUUCAGCUGCAAAGUAUGCACAAUGUGACACGCGGAUUGCGAAUGCAACGCUACGCAAGUUGCGCUAUUUCGCUGGUCAGCUAGUGUUCACUGGUGCUAGUGUUUCGGUGCUGCUUCGUCAGUACCAACCAAACCUUUCCAACUUCGACCUCAGAUCAGGCGAGAUUACCCGCUGAAUUUAA